This 339-nucleotide ribosomal RNA is filed under the name Molossus molossus (Pallas's mastiff bat). RNAcentral's name for it is "partial 12S ribosomal RNA". It matches the Rfam family "Bacterial small subunit ribosomal RNA", at positions 536 to 989 of the family's 1533-position model. The record is from RNAcentral. Lineage: Eukaryota; Metazoa; Chordata; Mammalia; Chiroptera; Molossidae.
AACCCAAACUAAUAGAUAUCCGGCGUAAAGCGUGUUUAAGAAAAUAACCAAAAUAAAGAUAAAUACUAGCUAAGCUGUAAAAAGCCUCAGCUCUCAUAAAAUAAACAACGAAAGUGUCUUUAGAAAAUCUGAACACACGACAGCUAAGACCCAAACUGGGAUUAGAUACCCCACUAUGCUUAGCCGUAAACUUAAAAAAUUUAAUAAACAAAAUUAUUCGCCAGAGUACUACUAGCAAAAGCUUAAAACUCAAAGGACUUGGCGGUGCUUUAUAUCCAUCUAGAGGAGCCUGUUCUAUAAUCGAUAAACCCCGAUAAACCUCACCAACUCUUGCUAAUU